Molecule: ribosomal RNA, 443 nt
Filed under: uncultured bacterium
Lineage: Bacteria
Description: partial 16S ribosomal RNA
Rfam family: Bacterial small subunit ribosomal RNA
Source: RNAcentral
CCUACGGGAGGCAGCAGUGGGGAAUAUUGGACAAUGGGGGGAACCCUGAUCCAGCGACGCCGCGUGAGUGAAGAAGUAUUUCGGUAUGUAAAGCUCUAUCAGCAGGGAAGAAAGCAAUGACGGUACCUGACUAAGAAGCCCAGGCUAACUACGUGCCAGCAGCCGCGGUAAUACGUAGGGGGCAAGCGUUAUCCGGAUUUACUGGGUGUAAAGGGAGCGUAGACGGCGAUGCAAGUCUGAAGUGAAAGGCGGGGGCGCAACCCCCGGACUGCUUUGGAAACUGUAUGGCUGGAGUGCAGGAGAGGGAAGUGGAAUUCCUAGUGUAGCGGUGAAAUGCGUAGAUAUUAGGAGGAACACCAGUGGCGAAGGCGGCUUACUGGACUGUAACUGACGUUGAGGCUCGAAAGCGUGGGGAGCAAACAGGAUUAGAUACCCUAGUAGUC